Molecule: long non-coding RNA, 782 nt
Organism: Etheostoma spectabile (orangethroat darter)
Lineage: Eukaryota; Metazoa; Chordata; Actinopteri; Perciformes; Percidae
Exons: 2
Source: RefSeq, a predicted model, not a curated record
CAGAGAGCCGGGGCUCUGACAGGUCCUCCACAUGUCCCUGUCCUAGCUGCCCGUAGCUGUUGGCUCCCUGACGGACACGACAUUAAUCACGUUAAUACCGUACAGAGCUAGUAAUUCCGAGGUAAAUCGUAACGAGAGUUUGUUUUCGCCGCACUUGUAUGUUGGAGCUAGUUGGCUAUACUGUUAAGCUAACGUUAGCAAAAGUGCUAAACAUUCUCCAUUGAAGUGUCCGUCUGCUGGUUGGGUCCUUGCUGUCAUCAUUCUCCAUGACCAUCAUCAGCAUCUUCCUCAGUGUCUUAAUAUCUAUCAACCAACCCCCCUUGAGGACAUCAAAAAGUAACAAGUCAACAGGUAACAAACCAUUUGACACACUGGAGACACAAUUAACUCUUUAACAUUUAUUUAUUUAUAUACUGUAUAUUUAAUGUAUAUAUGUCAUUAUUUUUUUCAAUAGUUUCAUUACAUAGCCUACUCAUGGUGAUUCAUAUUUUUUUUACAGUAGAAAAAUAAUGUUUUGAUUUCAGGAGUACUACAAUUAUGUUCACGCGGAGGUAUUCAAAAUCAUCACUGUAAAAUAAAAUAAAAUAGGUCAGGGUACAUGGGCCAAGUCUGUCGUAAUACGUCAAGAAAACAUUCUUAGAACACCAGUUUUCACUUUUAUAAUUUCCCUCAACAGCACACAAAAAGGAUUAUGAUACAUACACCAAAUUAAUACAAACAAGGUACAUUUUAUACACAUCACUGAAGUGAGGAAGAUUAAAUGUGAAGACGAAGAAGUAGAA